This 505-nucleotide ribosomal RNA is filed under the name uncultured bacterium. Its description in RNAcentral is "partial 16S ribosomal RNA". It matches the Rfam family "Bacterial small subunit ribosomal RNA", at positions 28 to 507 of the family's 1533-position model. The record is from RNAcentral.
GACGAACGCUGGCGGCGUGCCUAAUACAUGCAAGUAGAACGCACAGUUUAUACCGUAGCUUGCUACACCAUAGACUGUGAGUUGCGAACGGGUGAGUAACGCGUAGGUAACCUGCCUGGUAGCGGGGGAUAACUAUUGGAAACGAUAGCUAAUACCGCAUAAUAUUAAUUAUUGCAUGAUAAUUAAUUGAAAGGUGCAAUUGCACCACUACCAGAUGGACCUGCGUUGUAUUAGCUAGUAGGUGAGGUAACGGCUCACCUAGGCGACGAUACAUAGCCGACCUGGGAGGGUGAUCGGCCACACUGGGACGGAGACACGGCCCAGACUCCUACGGGAGGCAGCAGUAGGGAAUCUUCGGCAAUGGACGAAAGUCUGACCGAGCAACGCCGCGUGAGUGAAGAAGGUUUUCGGAUCGUAAAGCUCUGUUGUAAGAGAAGAACGGGUGUGAGAGUGGAAAGUUCACACUGUGACGGUAUCUUACCAGAAAGGGACGGCUAACUACGUG